AUGCUGAGGAGUCCCAAAAUAGGACGAAACGGCCGUCCAGUGU
Molecule: non-coding RNA, 43 nt
Filed under: Schistosoma curassoni
Lineage: Eukaryota; Metazoa; Platyhelminthes; Trematoda; Strigeidida; Schistosomatidae
Source: RNAcentral